This 938-nucleotide long non-coding RNA is filed under the name Homo sapiens (human). RNAcentral's name for it is "HSALNT0038825". The record is from RNAcentral. Lineage: Eukaryota; Metazoa; Chordata; Mammalia; Primates; Hominidae.
GAGGCGAAGCGCAGGCCCACAGCUGUGCGGCAGGAGCCACCCUCACAGCAGAGCCGGUGUAGACGCUUGAACGGCUCCUGCAGACACUCCCCUCUCCCCCUCUUAAAAAAACAAAUGCCCUGGCCUCCAUAGCCCCCAACAUACCUGCUUGUGCCCUCCUCUCUCCACUGGUAUCACAAACAGAAACAUCAAUCUGCCUUUGUUUUGCCAGGUCUGUUUCCACACACCCUUCCCAUUAUAUUUGAAAACAAAGCUUCCCAUCUUUGCUCGGACUUCUCAGCCUACUUUUAAGCAAAGCACUAACAAGCGCCUCCAGGGUGGGGUGGAGAGUUUGUGCCAAGAGCAGGGCUUGGCCCAGAGCCCAUCCCUUCCAGGCCUGGUCACAGGGAGAGAGGGUGGAGAUACAGCAGACAGAGGGGCCGAGAAGGGGCCUGCGGCCUCCCCACCUUGCCUCUCCCUCUGAGGGGCAAGGCUGUGGAACCCCAGAAGACAGGCCUCUGAGAGGACCCGGGUCACCCGGACCUGGACUCAAAUCCCAUCCCUGUACCUCUCCUUGGAUGAACCAUCGAACACUGAGCUUCCAUUUUGCAUCUUCCAACUGCACAGAGAAGCAAGCGGAGGCCUGAUGUGGAACUAAUGGGGCUCUGCGUCAUGGGCAACUAAACCUGGAGGGGGCACCGUGCCCGGUUCUCCCAGAGAAGAGAAGAAGGACUGGGCAGACAGCUCUCCAUCUCUCUGUGGAGGCCUCCCCUCCCACUUCCUUCCCCAACACCCCACCUCCACCUGCUGCUUCCAACCCCCAGCCCUGUUGGUUCUAGAAAGUUUGGUUGUUAUCCAGCAGGAGGAUGAGGACUGGUUUAGAGCAGAGCCAUUAAACUACAACCUGUGGGCCAAAGCUGGCCCACCCCUUGUUUUUCUAAAUAAAGUUUUAUUGAAAC